This 518-nucleotide long non-coding RNA is filed under the name Sarcophilus harrisii (Tasmanian devil). Its description in RNAcentral is "lncRNA (ENSSHAG00000027341.1)". The record is from RNAcentral. Lineage: Eukaryota; Metazoa; Chordata; Mammalia; Dasyuromorphia; Dasyuridae.
UCUGAAGAAGAAGCUGCUUGUCCUCCCCAAAAUGAUGCAGGAGAAUUGGAAAAACUAUCAUCAAAUUAGAGACCAUCAAAUAAGGAUCAGAGGAGAAAAGACAGAACAGUAUAGUGGGUGAUUCCCUGCUUAAAGGGCAAGAGCUAUGGACAAAAUCAGUAGUUGAAACAAUGAAAUAGAAUCCAAAAAAAUAUAGAGACAAAGAAUGUUUCUAUGCCACAUAGAGAAGAAUAUCAAUAUGUUUUCACCAAUCAUUCAAUCAACCAGAAUUGAGUGAAUGUGUCUAGAGGGACAGAUAUCAUCAGAACUCUGGAGACCCCAUCUGCCAGUGCAAGCAUGCUGAUCUACGUCUGGCCACUGGACACAGAUGACUCUGAAGGGAAAAGUGAGGCAGAUGACCUUGCACAGCCCUCCCUUACUUAAAUCCAAUUCACUUGUAUGUCCUCGUAUCACCUUCCUGAUGUCAUGGUGUUCUUCAAAAACAAAGGACAAACAACAACAACAACGACAAUCUCCAG